RNAcentral lists this unclassified non-coding RNA (271 nucleotides) under Chaetothyriales sp. Its description in RNAcentral is "partial contains 5.8S ribosomal RNA, internal transcribed spacer 2, and large subunit ribosomal RNA". Lineage: Eukaryota; Fungi; Ascomycota; Eurotiomycetes; Chaetothyriales. The record is from RNAcentral.
CGCAUAUUGCGCCCUUUGGUAUUCCGAAGGGCAUGCCUGUUCGAGCGUCAUUAUCACCCCUCAAGCCCGGCUUGUUGUUGGACCGCGCCCCCGGAGACGUGGACCGGUCCCAAAGAUAAUGACGGCUGUCUGUGAGGACUCCAGUACACUGAGCUUUCGGGCACGUACUCGGCUAGAAAUCCAGGCCCGUCCAACCGACCCUUCCCCUCGGGGGAGGCUCAUUUUUACCAAGGUUGACCUCGGAUCAGGUAGGAAUACCCGCUGAACUUAA